CGGGGUGUAGCGCAGCUUGGUAGCGCGCUUCGUUCGGGACGAAGAGGUCGUGGGUUCGAAUCCCGCCACCCCGA
Molecule: transfer RNA, 74 nt
Organism: Streptomonospora alba
Lineage: Bacteria; Bacillati; Actinomycetota; Actinomycetes; Streptosporangiales; Nocardiopsidaceae
Rfam family: tRNA
About the family: Transfer RNA (tRNA) molecules are approximately 80 nucleotides in length. Their secondary structure includes four short double-helical elements and three loops (D, anti-codon, and T loops).
Source: Rfam